This 445-nucleotide ribosomal RNA is filed under the name Niphargus stygius. RNAcentral describes it as "partial large subunit ribosomal RNA". Lineage: Eukaryota; Metazoa; Arthropoda; Malacostraca; Amphipoda; Niphargidae. The record is from RNAcentral.
UGAGUCGAUCCUAAGCCAACUGUGAAAGCAGUGACAUCCCGACAAAGGGGCAUUACGUGCGCUGCACUUACACCCCCACGGCAAAGCUCUGAGAUAUAUAUAUAUCUCUCUCUCUCUGACGAUAAAGGUGUCUGGUACGGAAUAUGCGCACGCACGGUGAUCACUACAAAUACGUGUGUGAGUGUGUGCGCUUGUAUGGUUACGCUCAUAAGCGUUGUUGCUCUCUGGUAAAAGGAUAAAGCAUAAGAGAGAGAGAGAGAGACACACAGAGUGUGGGUGAGCGUGAGUUUGCUCUCGCAUGAGCCCCCUGCGUCUGGUUCUAUGUCUGGCGAAAGGGAAUGGGGACUUUGUUCCUUGACCGGUCCCGGCACCCUCGAUUGGCUUUGCCAAUUAAUGGUCCAUGCAAAUGGAACCAGGCCACAGCCGCUGGCAGUCGCCCGAGGAA